This 228-nucleotide long non-coding RNA is filed under the name Lathyrus oleraceus (garden pea). Its description in RNAcentral is "Pisum sativum (pea) long non-coding RNA (PSAT_LNC012263)". Lineage: Eukaryota; Viridiplantae; Streptophyta; Magnoliopsida; Fabales; Fabaceae. The record is from RNAcentral.
UCAAGAACACCUUAAGUUUUGUCUUAAAAACAGCUAAUCAAAGUAAGUUAUUGGAUAAAGAUUGUUAAAUGACAUAUGCCCUAUCCAAGAAGAUUAUGGUGGUUGUGUAAGUCUUAAAGGCCAAAAUUUUAUUAUAAAUUAUUACUUGUAUCGAAUUAUCUAUUAAUAAUAAGGUCUUUUUUUAAGUUGCUUAUAUUUUUCAAUGUAGUAAAGUCCAUGUAAUAGAUC